RNAcentral lists this transfer RNA (67 nucleotides) under Discolomatidae sp. 4 ACP-2013. Its description in RNAcentral is "tRNA-Val". The record is from RNAcentral. Lineage: Eukaryota; Metazoa; Arthropoda; Insecta; Coleoptera; Discolomatidae.
AAAUUAAAACUUUAAUAAGUAUUUUAUUUACAUUAAAAAAAUAAUUGUUUAAUCAAUUUGAUUUGAA